AAAGCCUGGAUCUCUUCAGUAAAGUGUUUUCUGAACUCUAAUAUAUGCUCAGUGUUGACACGGGCUUAUUCACAGAAGAGGAUGACCUUUGCACAGCUCAAUGGUAAGUGUGUGUGUGAUGAGUUUUAGUAUCUUCUGUUCAGUGCACCUACCUGACUGUAGGUUUGAUCUGACCAAAACAAAGUAUUAGGCUUUGUCUCGAAGCACUUCUGCUGGAGUGUUUGAUACUGUGCACACAGGAAGUGUAUACACAUUUACAUGAACGCUCCAGUAUAUCAGUCAAACAAGAAAUGUGCAUUGCGUUGGUAUGAACCCUUUGCUGGAUUUCAGAAACUUAUUUUGCCUGAAUUUAGUAUUCUAAAGGUCAAAAAACAUCCCCCAGCAAACUCUUCAUUCUUCAUUAACGAGUGUUAUGGUCAGUACCAUUUCUCUGUGCAUUUUGUUAUGUAGAAUUAUCAUGGUUGUGCCUUGAAACGUUUGGAAUAUGUAACUGCUGGCAGAGGAGGGAAAUCUGAAGUGUCAUUCAAGUCCCAGAAUAUAGGCAGAUGCAUUCCAUUUUGGGGACAGGAAUUUUGAAGUGUGUGGGGGACCUGCUAUGACUCUAUCCUCUUUCGUCCCUUUUUUCACGAUCUUCAGCAGUAUAGAUUCCCAUCUACUUCCCAGUUUUUUAAGCUUGAGAAGCUGCAGAAGUACUUUAGAAAUCACUGGUGUGUGAAAAUUGUUCUUGCGUUCUGGCAUCCUUUGGUUUUGUGUGUGCCCUCCACAGGCAGGUACUCAGUGUGAGGCUGGAAAUGUUCUUGGUGAUGAAGCUGAGACACACGGGAAUUUACUGAGGGCAGGGGUGAAAAGUGAAUCAGUAUGGAUUUUGUAACAGAGAGGAGACCAACACUGCAGGAGGCAAAACACAGUUCCUGCAGGUGGACAUGCAUGUGGCUUCCUUGUGAGGCUGAAACAUCUGGUACAUCUCGUUCUGUGAGUUGUUGUGGAGCUGCAGGCCUGCCUGGGUGCUGCCAGCUGCCUGAUCUGUAUUCCCAUUUACACCAUGCUUUGUACCCCUUGUCUGCAUGAGGAAGGAGCCUGUCCCUGCAGAUGGGGUGCUACUGUGCUGAACAUCCACAGCUGCGAGCAGAAAGCUUCCUGGACAGGCUGGUAUUCUGAGGGCGACCAGUAUCCGCAGGAUACUGAGUCUGACCAGCUGCUGACGUGUCCAACUCUGGGACAACGCCAGCUGAUGCCAUAGCACCCAAAGAGCUAUGCCCCCUGUGUGCUUGCCCUGCUUUGCAGGGAGAGGUGCACGGCCACUCUGCAUCCCAUGGA
This 1317-nucleotide long non-coding RNA is filed under the name Anser cygnoides (Swan goose). RNAcentral describes it as "lncRNA (ENSACDG00005005790.1)". Lineage: Eukaryota; Metazoa; Chordata; Aves; Anseriformes; Anatidae. The record is from RNAcentral.